GGAAACUCGACGUUCACAUUCCGGUUUUCGCGAUUUUUAGGUCUUCGCGACGGUUUCUCGCGGUGAAAAUACGUUGCGCGUGCGUGUUCAUCCCCAUAGAAGAGGGGAAAAGUGUUUUGUGCAAAGAAGAAACGCCCAAACAAGGCAAAGGUUUUUGGAUCAGAAAGCAAAACUUCAGCGGAACGAUUUAUUACUCCGCCACUAGUGCGAAGCACGCAAAACGUUAACGUAGGUAAUGAAGGUUUUCAAUGAAGAACCUUCUAACAGCAGUGUAAGUCUCCCUUUUUGCUAUUCAUUAGAAGAAGGUAGAGCAACGCAUAAAUGGACCGACAGUCCAAAGGUAAUCCGGCGGUCGCCCUUGGAAAGUUCCCAAAUGAACACUCCGUUCAAAAGCAGGCCUCCGGUACAAAAUUGUAGCAGUUUAUGCUAGUUUAAGAAGAUUUGCUGGCCAAAUACCAAGAUUUUUCCCGGUAGGAUCAACCAGCUCGUAAGACGAAGACCCCUUUUUGGCGAGAACUUUCGCCGAUCAUCUUCCCCGGAAAUCCUGGAGUAGUCAUCCCCUGAUGCCGUUUCGCAACCAUGGACGACGAAAUGAGGACUAAACCCGGUAGAAGAAUGAACCGUAGUAUUUAGGAUGCGCUCCACAUCAGAGAUGCGGGCAUACGCGCGUAUUGCCGUAUUUAUAGAACGAUUCGUUCGUUCUACCGGAAUCGGCUGAAUUCUCUGAAGAUGAACGUCGAACCCUUAUCGCUCAACAGGAUUUCCGGACUUCCAUGGCGGUUGAAACAUUGUUCGCGAAGUGUCGCACAAAGUGAGGCGCUGCAAAUUUUGUGAACGGGGGUCAACAUUACGUACUUGCUGAAGACGUCGAGGACGACUAGCAAGUUUUGAUUGCCCCGUUUGCUUCGAGGAAGUGGGCCUAUGUAGUCUAUGUCUAUGUAAUAGCUUUUAUGAACCUCGUGAAUCGUUUUAUCAUAUCCCACAUAAAGUAAUUAAUCGUGAGUACGCUGCACGAUAUCUUCUCGACACUCGGGGGUUGGGACCAAUUUCCAACUAAACCGAGAGUCGAAUGGUACACUUUUCGAGGCCACGUAUUUGAAAAGUUUACCAUCUUCAACUUUAAAGUCAGGGUAAUCAUCAGGAUUAUCUGAAACUUCAGACCUCAUGGAAUAAUACCAGUCUGAAGUGGACAAUGCCGAAAUGGUUACUACAGCCCGGGAUAAGGCAUCCGGAACGACAUUGUCCUUACCUUUCCGGUGCUCAAUGGACAUGUCGUAGAGUUGCAGUUCCAAACUCCACCGACUAAGGCGCGAACUGGUUUUCCAUUUGGUCUUCAGUAUCCAGGUAAUGGCUGAUGAAUCAGUGACAAGUCGAAAAUGAUAACCUUCCAAGUAACCUCGGCAGUGUUGAACCGCCAUAAUCACCGCCAGACCUUCCUUUUCGGUAGCGUUGUAAUUCCGCUGGGGAGUGGUUAGCUUAUGUGAAAAAUAAGCUACCACUUUUUCCUCCUCUGGAUAUUGUUGCACCAGAACAGCCGUGACAGCAGUGUCACUGGCAUCUGUCUGCAGAAUAAAUUCCUUCGAAAAAUCUGGCGGGGCAAGCACUGGAGGAGUGACUAAAAGUUCCUUUAUCUUCAGGAACGCGAGUUCUGUUUCGGAGUUCCAGCCAAUAUUCUUGGCCUUUGUUUUCAAGAGGUCGGUCAAAGGUGCGGUUACCUCACUAAACCGGCCAAUGAAACGCCGGUAGUAAUCGCAUAUUCCAAGGAAUCGGCGCAGUUUAGUAACCGUCACCGGCUGCUCGUAAUCGAGUAUCAGCUGAAUUUUGUCAGGAUUGACCUUUAGACCUUCCUGAUUCAACAAAUAGCCAAGAAAUUUUAACUCUGGAACCCCAAAACGGGAUUUAGCCUGUUUUAUCGUUAGAUCGGCUUUGGCUAGACAUUUGGCCACCUCUUUGAGCAAUUGUAGGUGAUGCUCGAACGUUUCGCUUACCACGAUGCUAUCAUCGAGGUAAACGAAGACGCACGGUUCCAGUUUUCCUCGUCCUAACACCUGAUCCAUCAGACGUGCCAAAGUGGCAGGGCUGUUAACGAGACCGAAGGGUAGACGAGUAAAUUGGAACAUACCUCUGCCGGGCACGCUGAAAGCAGUAAACUUACGACUGCCCUUAGCCAAAGGAACCUGGAGAAAAGCCUCCUUUAAGUCUAUAGUAGACAGGUACUUGGCUUUAGGCAGGCUUCCUAAAAUUCGCCCGGGAUGAGGCAGAGGGUAUGCAACACGUACUGUUCGCUCAUUAAGAGGUCGGGCAUCUAGACAAAGCCGAAUAGAGACGUCUGGUUUGGUCACAGCGACAAUAUUCAAAGACCAAUCGGAAUCUGACGCUUCAAUAAUACCCAUAAAACGCCAACGGUCGUCUUCUUCCCAGACUUUAGACAGUUUCCUUGGGCUCAUUUUAUAAGGAUAUCGGCAAACAGGCGCGGCACUUUGGAAUUCUUCCUUCAUUACGAUCCUGUGCUCUGUUAGCGAGGUCGUAUUUAAUUUGCCGGGCACUACCGCCUGGAAACAGAUCGUAACCUGUUCGAUACAGGCAAUCUGCUCCGGAGUAAGUGUAGACUUAUUCGGAGCAUCAUUCUCUACUUCUUCGUCCCGUUCCGAACCUGAGUUCAACAGAGCACAAGUUUGCAACUCGGGUGUUAUUCCAAAGGCGCGCCAAAAGUCCAUACCGAGUAUUAAAGAAACUGUUAAUUGUUCCACUACAAGGGUGCAAAUAUCCUUUGUCUUGUUUUGGAAAGUGUACGGAAGAUAUAUUUGCCCAAGGAUCGGUAAGGUCUGUCCAUUUGCCGAACGAAGUUCAACUGGCCUUUCCAAACCUUUCAAUGGACUUUUGGAAAACUUUCGAUACAACUUUUUGGUAAUAAUGGUUGCAUUACUACCACUGUCGAGCAAAGCCUUGAAGGAAUGGCCAUAUAUUGCGACAAAAGCGAAAGGACGAUUAUCGGACGGAUCAUCGAGGGUGAUGGUUUCAACAAACAACGGAUCACGAUAAUCCUCAUCAUGAGCUGGUCGAAAACUGUUGUAAAUUUGGGGGUCUAAUAUCAGGCUUUCUAUGAGGCGCACAUCCUUACACAACAGCGACUUUAGUUGGUACGAACCCCGUUUUUUAAGCAGUAGGGACAGCGAGAGACAUCGAAACCCUUGAAUCCACACAAAAUACAGAAGACUCGUCUAGGAUGUCUGCACACCUCAUGCUCGUGUCCAGUACCACCGCAGUUGCAACAGACUCCGAGACUAGGAGGUCGAUGCUGUCCCACCAGAUAGUCGAGACAAAUCAUCGGCUUUUGUUUGGAUUCCGGUUUAGAAUUUCUCUCGACAAGAUUCUUUUCCGUCUGAACACCUGGCUUUUUCUUCGUGUUUUCAGUCGGCGUUUUGGAAGCAAAAUUAUCCUUUUGGGAAAUUUUGCACCAAAAUGUUUUGGUUUCAACGUGGCUGCUAUUCGAACUACCUCCCUUUCUGUUUGGUUGGUCCUUUUUCGAGGUGUUAAUUGGUGGAUUUACCGAAUAAGCAGCGACUUCCUUUUGAGAACCGAACACUUUUCGGUAAAUCGGUGUUUUGUACGCAUCAAUCGAUUUACCUAAAGUCAUCAAUUCUGCAAGCGUACUCACUGGCUUUGAAAUUAAAACUUGCUUAUAGUCCGGCCUGAGGUUCCGCUUGAGCACGUCGAGUUUUUCACUCGAUGUCAUGGGAACCUUCAUAGCAAGGAAUAUUUUUUCCAUUUUCCGGAAAUAGUCCAGGAACCGCUCGUUUCGCAUCUGCAGGCGCUGGGAAACCGGUGAUUUGAGAGCGGCGUCAGGUUCCGGAUGAACGAAAUUUGCCUUAAGCUCACAAACCAAAUGGUUCCAGUUGAAGAGCCUGUUCUGCGAUCUCAUAGCCCGAUACCAAGUAAGAGCAUUGUCAGUGAGUAGGUGCAUUGCAGAAUUGAACAGCUCCUCUUCUGAAAUUUGCUCUCACUGAGCAUAAUUUUCAACGGAGUCCAGAAAUUCAUUCAGUCCUAGCCCAUCAGCUGUCCCAGCGUAUUUCUCGAUUUUCCAAUCGGAAACACGCUGAGGUCGACGAUUGUAAUGGUAGCCCGAGCAGAAUGGUAUUUCUUUACCCGUAUGGUUUGGAAAAGGAAAACGCCCACCAGUCGGGCUUGACCUAUCAUUCACAUGGUGUUGUGGGGCCUGCGACUGAAUAACUGCUAAAGCUGGUUUCGUGUUCUCAAUUGGAAGCGACGGACAUCGAUAUUUUAGAAAAUCUAUAGGUAACCUUUCCAUCACGGUUUGGUUCAAUGUGGGCGCCAGUGGUGGAUCAGGUACUUCAGGUUCCUCUGGCUCAUCGAUUUCGUCCGUCUCACGUCUUUCGUCCUGAUCGGUCUGCAGAUCAAUCUCGGGAACGCCAGCUGGUUUAGAAUGUACCAGCGCCCGAAGUUCACUGACGGAUUCACGAAGUGAGACAACUUCUUGAUCCGUCUUUCUUAAAACUGAAGCAAUCGUGUUUAGUGAAGCAAUCCCGCCCAUUAGCGCCUGAGUAGCUUCCAAAAGACUAUCUGACCUCUCAGCCGCUAGAGCUCUAUCCUUUUGGGAUUGCUGACGUAAAAGUCGAAUCUCGUCCCUUAGCUAGCUCAAGGCAGACCCAACAUCUUCUCCUACGAGCGGACCAGAUUCUACACUUUGCGGGGAAAUGGGUGCCGUUUGUGUUGGUGGCACGAUCGUGCCCAACAAAUCUCCCAAACCUGCUCCACCUUCCCCAGUAUUUUCAAUUGGAGGAAGCACUGCCGACAAAUCAAAAUGUUCUUGAUAUGUAGCAGCAACUUCCGCCAACAAACCCAAAAUUUCCUGGUUGACCUCCCCUGCUGUGUAUUUGUGGAUUAUCUGGAGUCUAGACCCCAGAUGGAGUAACCUUGUUCGGUAGGCCUCCUUGUUUGGGCAUCUAUAACGGAGAUCCUCCCUAAUGGAACUCAACUUCCCAAGGCAGAUCUCCAUUUCUUCCGCAGCAUCCCCAUGAAACACGCGCAAGUGUUCCACCGGAGACGACCGUUCUUCGGCCAACAAUCCCCAUAAACGACGCUGCCGCUGAACCCCAGAUGGAUCCGAAUCAGCCGAGACGACAACAUUCUCCGAGCUCAACUCAAAAUCUAGCUCGUCGAAAUGCAAAUGGUCAACCCGCAUCAACCAAUAAUCUCUGUUGAGCUCUUCAACCAUCAUUGCCAUUUUCUAAAUGUUCUUGGAAAAUAACUCAAAAGCACAAAGCAUUAAGUCACAUACUUAGACAAACGUAACACUGACGAUUUUUUUUGGUACUCUUUGGUACAUCACCCGGUACUAACACCAGAAUGAACUGCUCGACGAAAAUGAACGAAAUGAAUUUUCUUCAUAGCGGCUCUACUCGAGCCCUCAACAAAAUCCCUUACGAAACUGUCAAAAAGUUGUUUACAAAAUCAAUGCUGCAUUUUUCGAGUGGGAACGAGACAAAUGCAGGGCUGCGCAGGUACACAACCUCCAUAAACUUCUCAAACAGAGGUUUUUUUUACAGGGGUUGGUACUUUCGAGUAGUUCAUUUUGUGCCAACUUUUCUGGAAGAUUUCUUCCUGAGUGUUACGUAUGUCUUAUGUAUGUGAUUAAGUAUUGACACGGCAUGAAACUUUGUAUUUAUUUCGCCCACUAACGAUUCCUUUUUAUUUUAGGAAUCUGAGCGGAGUUGAAAAAUGUUUCGAAUCGGAUCGGAAUAUUUUAUGGUUGGCAACCACCUUGACUGGAAAAGACUCAAGCUUUCCACAACUCGUCUGGUAGUUCCACCAAAACCAACGCAAAAUCACCGAUUCAGAAAACAAAAAUAAAAAAAUCCGGAGUACUUCGUGAUACGGGCGAAUCUAUCAAACUUUAAACAAAUAGAGAUUUUACCGAGAACGUAUGAAGUGAGCUACUAUCUACCUUCAAACUUCGAAAAAAUAAUGUAUCUUUUUUCUAACUAUUAAGAAGUACGAUGUUUGUUAAGGGCGAAAUCUACUUUAUAUCAAAACGAAAUAGAAUGAGGAAUACGCCCACACUAGGGCGCCAAUCAUCGUAUGGAAAAAAAAUGACCAGAAAAUUUCAAAAAAAACCCUAUGUUCACCUGCUCGAAAAAACACCCUGUGCAAAAUUUCAGCUCAAUCGGACUUAAAAUGGGGUGGCGCAAAGCGAUUGAAGUUUGGCUUUUUUGAAAACUGAAAACUCACCCAAGGGGGGGGGGGGUACGUGAAAUUUCGGUUUUCGAAAAUUUUUUUUUUGAUGCCAAAUGACUUAAAAACGCAUGAAACGUCGAGAAUUGGUGUCAUCUGAAAAAACUUUUUUUUGCAAAAAUUUACUCUCUGGGACUUAGUCGUUUUUUCAAUUGUGGAAGGCGGAGUUCAAAAUGUUUAGAAUUUAUCUUUUGAAAUUGAUCACUAGUCUUUCGAAAUAGCUUGUAUAAUGAUAUACACUAUAACUAGCGUCGAAUACAUUAUGUUUCAUUAGGGUGGUUCAUUUAUUCGACAUAGGGUGGUU
Molecule: long non-coding RNA, 6556 nt
Organism: Wyeomyia smithii (pitcher-plant mosquito)
Lineage: Eukaryota; Metazoa; Arthropoda; Insecta; Diptera; Culicidae
Exons: 3
Source: RefSeq, a predicted model, not a curated record